Molecule: ribosomal RNA, 400 nt
Filed under: uncultured bacterium
Lineage: Bacteria
Description: bacterial SSU rRNA
Rfam family: Bacterial small subunit ribosomal RNA
Source: RNAcentral
GGAUGAAUAUUGGUCAAUGGGCGGCAGCCUGAACCAGCCAUCCCGCGUGAANGGAAGAAUGCGCUAUGCGUUGUAAACUUCUUUUCCAGGAGAAUAAAAUGCCAUACGUGUAUGGUACUGAAGGUAUCCUGGGAAUAAGCAUCGGACUAACUCCGUGCCAGCAGCCGCGGUAAUACGGAGGAUGCGAGCGUUAUCCGGAUUUAUUGGGUUUAAAGGGUGCGUAGGCGGAUUAUAAGUCAGUGGUGAAACCUGCAGCUUAACUGUAGACUUGCCAUUGAUACUGUAGUUCUUGAGUGUGGUCAAGGCAGGCGGAAUGUGUAAUGUAGCGGUGAAAUGCUUAGAUAUUACACAGAACACCGAUUGCGAAGGCAGCUUGCUGGGCCAAUACUGACGCUGAGGC